UACGUAGGGUGCGAGCGUUAAUCGGAAUUACUGGGCGUAAAGCGUGCGCAGGCGGCGCAGCAAGUCGAGUGUGAAAUCCCCGAGCUUAACUUGGGAAUUGCGCUCGAAACUACGGUGCUGGAGUGUGGCAGAGGGAGGUGGAAUUCCACGUGUAGCGGUGAAAUGCGUAGAGAUGUGGAGGAACACCGAUGGCGAAGGCAGCCUCCUGGGCCAACACUGACGCUCAUGCACGAAAGCGUGGGGAGCAAACAGG
This 253-nucleotide ribosomal RNA is filed under the name uncultured bacterium. Its description in RNAcentral is "partial 16S ribosomal RNA". It matches the Rfam family "Bacterial small subunit ribosomal RNA", at positions 524 to 776 of the family's 1533-position model. The record is from RNAcentral.